This 67-nucleotide transfer RNA is filed under the name Tridacna squamosa. RNAcentral's name for it is "tRNA-Trp". Lineage: Eukaryota; Metazoa; Mollusca; Bivalvia; Cardiida; Cardiidae. The record is from RNAcentral.
AGCGGGUUAAUCUAAAUUUAAGAUAGCGAACUUCAAAUUCGAAUAUAAGCAUGGUGCUUACUCGUUG